CAGUCGCCACGGUAAUACGGAGGGUGCGAGCGUUAAUCGGAAUUACUGGGCGUAAAGAGUGCGUAGGUGGUUAAUUAAGUUAUCUGUGAAAUUCCUGGGCUUAACCUGGGCAGGUCAGAUAAUACUGGUUAACUCGAGUAUGGGAGAGGGUAGUGGAAUUUCCGGUGUAGCGGUGAAAUGCGUAGAGAUCGGAAGGAACACCAGUGGCGAAGGCGGCUACCUGGCCUAAUACUGACACUGAGGCACGAAAGCGUGGGGAGCAAACAGGAUUAGAUACCCGUGUAGUCCCUGUCUCUUAUAC
This 301-nucleotide ribosomal RNA is filed under the name uncultured bacterium. RNAcentral's name for it is "partial 16S ribosomal RNA". It matches the Rfam family "Bacterial small subunit ribosomal RNA", at positions 509 to 807 of the family's 1533-position model. The record is from RNAcentral.